ACAAAACAAACUGACUUUCAAAAGAAGAUCUGUUGCAACUUCUUGUCCAAGAAACUGUACCAUGAAGUUUCAUCUACUUUUCUUUAUUCUGCUUUUUUCGAUCACAAUACUAACAGUCAGAAGUCUUAUUGACAUCAAGUAUAGAAUAGAGAGAUGUGCAAAAAUGUGAGGAAUGUGUAAGGCCUUCUGUGAUGUGGAUGAGUAUGCUUUUGGAUAUUGUAUCAAAUGGAGGAACCAGUGUUGCAUUUAAACUGCCACACAGAAGUACUACUUACUGUCCAGUCUGGAAAAGAAGAGCAUCAAAGCCCAAUUCAAAUGUUCAUCUGUACACACACCAUCAAGCUUGAGAACUGUGAAAUAAACUGUUGUAUAGCCACAUGGAGUAUAUAUUUUUCUGCAUCUUUUGACAAAUUAGCUACAUUGUUUUUUGAGUAUUUUCUAUUGCAAUAAAAGUGCUGUGAACAUUUUUAU
RNA transcript from Rattus norvegicus (Norway rat), 471 nucleotides. It is a transcript of the gene named defensin beta 16 pseudogene, with no coding region annotated. NCBI's taxonomy places the organism in Eukaryota, Metazoa, Chordata, Mammalia, Rodentia, Muridae. The transcript is spliced from 2 exons. The record is from RefSeq and is marked validated.